Long non-coding RNA from Bufo bufo (common toad), 151 nucleotides. RefSeq lists it as uncharacterized. The transcript is spliced from 3 exons. The record is from RefSeq and is a predicted model, not a curated record. Lineage: Eukaryota; Metazoa; Chordata; Amphibia; Anura; Bufonidae.
UCUUCAGUUUUGAAAAACAGCACCUGGGUCUGAAUACUUUUGUAAUUGCAUAUUAUUAAAAAUUUAGCACAGCCACUGAGCUAUACAAUAAAAUCUAUCUGUAUAGCGCCACCUGCUGUUUUGUUCUUUUCCUUAUUUCUCUGUCCGGCUC